RNAcentral lists this ribosomal RNA (468 nucleotides) under uncultured bacterium. RNAcentral's name for it is "partial 16S ribosomal RNA". It matches the Rfam family "Bacterial small subunit ribosomal RNA", at positions 28 to 507 of the family's 1533-position model. The record is from RNAcentral.
GACGAACGCUGGCGGCGUGCUUAACACAUGCAAGUCGAACGGAAAGGCCCUGCUUUUGUGGGGUGCUCGAGUGGCGAACGGGUGAGUAACACGUGAGUAACCUGCCCUUGACUUUGGGAUAACUUCAGGAAACUGGGGCUAAUACCGGAUAGGAGCUCCUGCUGCAUGGUGGGGGUUGGAAAGUUUCGGCGGUUGGGGAUGGACUCGCGGCUUAUCAGCUUGUUGGUGGGGUAGUGGCUUACCAAGGCUUUGACGGGUAGCCGGCCUGAGAGGGUGACCGGCCACAUUGGGACUGAGAUACGGCCCAGACUCCUACGGGAGGCAGCAGUGGGGAAUAUUGCACAAUGGGCGGAAGCCUGAUGCAGCAACGCCGCGUGCGGGAUGACGACCUUCGGGUUGUAAACCGCUUUCGCCUGUGACGAAGCGUGAGUGACGGUAAUGGGUAAGGAAGCACCGGCUAACUACGUG